GGACACCAAAAGACAAGGAUUGCUCCAUUGUUCCAUCUUUGGACACAGUAUCGUGGUGAGGCUGAGUGUAAUAACCAUCUCUCAGACUCAAUGAUUCAAUCUUUUGGCUCAAAUUCUGAGACUUGUCCAGAAGAUCAGGAGUCUGAAGAACAAUGUUUGUAUUGAAGUUCUCAUUGGAGAAGCCUUCUCUCCCUUUGAACUCAUCAGUAUACUUGCUUGGUGAUCUGCAAGAAACAGAUAAGGAGAAAAUUUUCUCAUAAUUAUGGAGGCUCUCAAACUGCAACUUUUCGUGAUUUUUAUGCUGCUCAAAUGACAAUUUUCUAUUGCAACCACCAGCUGCUUCCUCUGCAAGUCGGCCCCUUCUCUGAUCUCCAUUGGAUGACCAUAAGCAUUUUCGUGGUUGGGUAAAUAAAUCCUUUGGAUGUCCUGCAAGAGAAACUGGAGAGAAACGAUGACCCUUGAGACAUUCCACCUCCUGGAUGAUCACUUUGACCCCCAUUACUAUCUCCAGAUAAUCCUAUGACGUCUCUUCUUACACCUGAUGGGAAAGGUGUCUGAGCUUCUCCACAUAUGCCUUCUUCCCAUGCCAUAGUUCUGACACUGCUUUGCUUUUCAAGGUCUUCCAGUAUCUGAGUAGCGCGCUCAAAGGAUUUACCAUAUGAUUCAUCCAUUUGCUCAUUAAUGCAUGAAGCUCUUACAGAUUGAAGCAAAAAUUUAGCUUCUGCAGUCUUGUUUAAGUAUAUCAAGCAAAUUGCCAGGUUGCACUGCUUGUUCUUAUCGGGUUCAAGUGAAAGUGCUUUUCUGGGAACAAAGAAUUAACUUGUUAGAAACAAGCUAAACUAGACACGUGUUAUUUGCAUGUACAUGUGUGUACUCAAUGCAAGAAAACGUACCUAUAACUCUCUUCUGCAGAUUUAUAAUCCUCUAGCUGCAAUUGCCCCCAAGCCAAGUUACCUAACAAUCUGUUCAGAAGUUUCCAAAUUCCAGGAAUCAGUCAUAUAUAUCUCUGAAGGUAAAUGAAAAUGCCCGACCAACACACACAUCUUAGUCACAAGAAAAAAGGGAAAAGAACAUAUGCCUAAUCAAACUGGCAGUACAACUCAAGCUUGGAAGAUGUACACUGCCAAAAAAAGCAAAAAAGGUCCUGUUGAUCAAGCAAGUGUCAACGACACUUUCCACCUUAGGUGAAAUAACAGAUGGUCAGUUCUCUAUUUCCCUUCUCCUCAUUAGAUCCAUUCCAUUCCUUUUUUUUUUCUUUUUCUUCAUUCCAUUUCAAGUUAAACCUAAAAGUGAAGAUAUUGAAAAAAGCUACUCAAGGACAUUUAAGCAAUUUAUAGAUCCAUACAAACUCUCCAGAAGUAGGACUCAUGAUCUUUUUAUGACCUUAUCCUGAAUGUCAUGUAAACAAACGUAGUUGGAGCCAAAAGCAGUAGAUUCAGUGCACAAACAAUUCGAUGUAAAGAACCUUCUCUAGUUUCUCUGCAAAUAUUGGUUGAUAGAAGAGAAUAUAGGGAAAGAGAAAAGCAAUGAAAGAAGGGACAGAAAUCUUAUAUUUGGUUUCAUCUCACCUUGUAAAGUUCGAUCAACACAUUAUCAAGAGAUUC
Molecule: non-coding RNA, 1604 nt
Organism: Coffea arabica (coffee)
Lineage: Eukaryota; Viridiplantae; Streptophyta; Magnoliopsida; Gentianales; Rubiaceae
Source: RefSeq, a predicted model, not a curated record